RNAcentral lists this ribosomal RNA (1140 nucleotides) under Vibrio parahaemolyticus. RNAcentral describes it as "partial 23S ribosomal RNA". It matches the Rfam family "Bacterial large subunit ribosomal RNA", at positions 1793 to 2925 of the family's 2925-position model. The record is from RNAcentral. Lineage: Bacteria; Pseudomonadati; Pseudomonadota; Gammaproteobacteria; Vibrionales; Vibrionaceae. RNAcentral also lists the same sequence under 5 other names.
GCUGCAACUGUUUAUUAAAAACACAGCACUGUGCAAAAUCGUAAGAUGACGUAUACGGUGUGACGCCUGCCCGGUGCCGGAAGGUUAAUUGAUGGGGUUAGACUUCGGUCGAAGCUCUUGAUCGAAGCCCCGGUAAACGGCGGCCGUAACUAUAACGGUCCUAAGGUAGCGAAAUUCCUUGUCGGGUAAGUUCCGACCUGCACGAAUGGCGUAAUGAUGGCCACGCUGUCUCCACCCGAGACUCAGUGAAAUUGAAAUCGCUGUGAAGAUGCAGUGUACCCGCGGCUAGACGGAAAGACCCCGUGAACCUUUACUACAGCUUGGCACUGAACAUUGACCCUACAUGUGUAGGAUAGGUGGGAGGCUUUGAAGCACGUACGCCAGUAUGUGUGGAGCCGUCCUUGAAAUACCACCCUUGUAGUGUUGAUGUUCUAACGUCGACCCCUAAUCGGGGUUGCGGACAGUGCCUGGUGGGUAGUUUGACUGGGGCGGUCUCCUCCCAAAGAGUAACGGAGGAGCACGAAGGUGGGCUAAUCACGGUUGGACAUCGUGAGGUUAGUGCAAUGGCAUAAGCCCGCUUGACUGCGAGAAUGACAAUUCGAGCAGGUGCGAAAGCAGGUCAUAGUGAUCCGGUGGUUCUGAAUGGAAGGGCCAUCGCUCAACGGAUAAAAGGUACUCCGGGGAUAACAGGCUGAUACCGCCCAAGAGUUCAUAUCGACGGCGGUGUUUGGCACCUCGAUGUCGGCUCAUCACAUCCUGGGGCUGAAGUCGGUCCCAAGGGUAUGGCUGUUCGCCAUUUAAAGUGGUACGCGAGCUGGGUUUAGAACGUCGUGAGACAGUUCGGUCCCUAUCUGCCGUGGGCGUUGGAAGAUUGAAGGGGGCUGCUCCUAGUACGAGAGGACCGGAGUGGACGAACCUCUGGUGUUCGGGUUGUGUCGCCAGACGCAUUGCCCGGUAGCUAAGUUCGGAAUCGAUAACCGCUGAAAGCAUCUAAGCGGGAAGCGAGCCCUGAGAUGAGUCUUCCCUGAUACUUUAAGUAUCCUAAAGGGUUGUCGGAGACUACGACGUUGAUAGGUCAGGUGUGUAAGUGCUGUGAGGCAUUGAGCUAACUGAUACUAAUUGCCCGUGAGGCUUAACCAU